UCAACAGUGUAGCGCAGCUAGGUCGGCGGACGCGGCUCACCCGCGCCGUCAUCGGUUCAAAUCCGAUCCGUUUAACCA
RNAcentral lists this transfer RNA (78 nucleotides) under Pseudaminobacter soli (ex Li et al. 2025). RNAcentral describes it as "Mesorhizobium soli tRNA-Sec". The record is from RNAcentral. Lineage: Bacteria; Pseudomonadati; Pseudomonadota; Alphaproteobacteria; Hyphomicrobiales; Phyllobacteriaceae.